CAUGUCCUACGGGGCGCAGCAGUGGGGAAUAUUGCACAAUGGGAGGGACCCUGAUGCAGCGACGCCGCGUGAAGGAAGAAGUAUCUCGGUAUGUAAACUUCUAUCAGCAGGGAAGAAAGAGGACGGUACCUGACUAAGAAGCCCCGGCUAACUACGUGCCAGCAGCCGCGGUAAUACGUAGGGGGCGAGCGUUAUCCGGAUUUACUGGGUGUAAAGGGAGCGUAGACGGCCAUGCAAGCUCGGUGCGAAAGGCGCGGGCACAACCCGCA
Molecule: ribosomal RNA, 269 nt
Filed under: uncultured bacterium
Lineage: Bacteria
Description: partial 16S ribosomal RNA
Rfam family: Bacterial small subunit ribosomal RNA
Source: RNAcentral